This 273-nucleotide ribosomal RNA is filed under the name uncultured bacterium. RNAcentral describes it as "partial 16S ribosomal RNA". It matches the Rfam family "Bacterial small subunit ribosomal RNA", at positions 524 to 796 of the family's 1533-position model. The record is from RNAcentral.
GACGUAGGGGGCGAGCGUUGUCCGGAUUCAUUGGGCGUAAAGCGCGCGUAGGCGGCCCGGUAAGUCGGGUGUGAAAUCCUGAGGCUCAACCUCAGGACUGCACUCGAUACUGUCGGGCUAGAGGUAGGUAGGGGAGAUCGGAAUUCCUGGUGUAGCGGUGAAAUGCGCAGAUAUCAGGAGGAACACCGGUGGCGAAGGCGGAUCUCUGGGCCUUACCUGACGCUCAGGCGCGAAAGCUAGGGGAGCAAACAGGAUUAGAAACCCCCGUAGUCC